GGGUGACGAGUGGCGGACGGGUGAGUAAUGUCUGGGGAUCUGCCCGAUAGAGGGGGAUAACCACUGGAAACGGUGGCUAAUACCGCAUAACGUCGCAAGACCAAAGAGGGGGACCUUCGGGCCUCUCACUAUCGGAUGAACCCAGAUGGGAUUAGCUAGUAGGCGGGGUAAUGGCCCACCUAGGCGACGAUCCCUAGCUGGUCUGAGAGGAUGACCAGCCACACUGGAACUGAGACACGGUCCAGACUCCUACGGGAGGCAGCAGUGGGGAAUAUUGCACAAUGGGCGCAAGCCUGAUGCAGCCAUGCCGCGUGUAUGAAGAAGGCCUUCGGGUUGUAAAGUACUUUCAGCGGGGAGGAAGGCGAUGCGGUUAAUAACCGCGUCGAUUGACGUUACCCGCAGAAGAAGCACCGGCUAACUCCGUGCCAGCAGCCGCGGUAAUAC
This 444-nucleotide ribosomal RNA is filed under the name Pantoea agglomerans. RNAcentral describes it as "bacterial SSU rRNA". It matches the Rfam family "Bacterial small subunit ribosomal RNA", at positions 86 to 526 of the family's 1533-position model. The record is from RNAcentral. Lineage: Bacteria; Pseudomonadati; Pseudomonadota; Gammaproteobacteria; Enterobacterales; Erwiniaceae.